RNAcentral lists this ribosomal RNA (588 nucleotides) under uncultured bacterium. RNAcentral describes it as "bacterial SSU rRNA". It matches the Rfam family "Bacterial small subunit ribosomal RNA", at positions 338 to 916 of the family's 1533-position model. The record is from RNAcentral.
CCUACGGGAGGCAGCAGUGGGGAAUUUUGGACAAUGGGCGAAAGCCUGAUCCAGCCAUUCCGCGUGAGUGAAGAAGGCCUUCGGGUUGUAAAGCUCUUUCGCAAGGGAAGAAAACUUAGAUACUAAUAUUAUCUGAGGUUGACGGUACCUUGAUAAGAAGCACCGGCUAACUACGUGCCAGCAGCCGCGGUAAUACGUAGGGUGCGAGCGUUAAUCGGAAUUACUGGGCGUAAAGCGUGCGCAGGCGGUUUUGUAAGUCAGAUGUGAAAUCCCCGAGCUCAACUUGGGAACUGCGUUUGAAACUACAAGACUAGAAUAUGUCAGAGGGGGGUAGAAUUCCACGUGUAGCAGUGAAAUGCGUAGAGAUGUGGAGGAAUACCAAUGGCGAAGGCAGCCCCCCUGGGAUAAUAUUGACGCUCAUGCACGAAAGCGUGGGGAGCAAACAGGAUUAGAUACCCUGGUAGUCCACGCCCUAAACGAUGUCUACUAGUUGUUGGUGGAGUAAAAUCCAUGAGUAACGCAGCUAACGCGUGAAGUAGACCGCCUGGGGAGUACGGUCGCAAGAUUAAAACUCAAAGGAAUUGACGG